AACGUGCUCUUCUGUGGACGACGAUUCUUGCAGAGUUCUUUUGCAGAUCUUGAUUUUAUCUUUACGGCUUCAGACGAUUGUAAUAGUGUAUUCGUUUAGAUCGAUCUUAGAUCUACCUUUCGGCUAUGGAUUUCAUGUGUUUCUAUGAUUCGAUCGCUGCCGGCUGUUGUUCUUAUCGAAGAUCAGUAUCCCGGUCUGCUGUUUCAGAAGACAGAGAUCCAUGUGCUACUGGCGUUUCUUGAUCGAAGUGUCCAAUCAAUUGAUUUGAAGAGAAGAUAUAUGGAGUCAACAGCUAGAGGAGUUUGAUGAAGACCGAUUAUAUCUGUUUGGAUCUUAUCAUCAUCUUAUUCGGCCUCGCUUGUCGAACCAUUGACCAUCGAAAAGUUGAAAAAAUCGUUGURAUUGAUCGCUGUUGUUCGACUUCCUCGUGAUGCUAUGCAUAUCAUGUAGAUAUAGUCGAAAGUUGCCAGAAAAUAGUGCGGGAUGUGUCCGCUGGGAGAGGUGAAAGGUUAAUUUGUAAGAUCUGCGGUGUUGUGUGCGUUAAUUUCCUUGUUUUGUGAGUCCGGCCUUUGCCAUGUCAGGUGCGCUUGCAUGGCAGGUCAUAAAAAAGUCUUAAUGAAAUUGUUCUUUUUGUUUUGAUGGAAGGAGAAGGUACGGGGGUUGCCCGGCUCUCCUUCCUUGUGUGUUCCUGUCGCCCUCCUCUCUCUCUCUCUGUUGCUCSUCUACCUAUCUGACCAAAUAUCUCAAACCACUUCUAAACAGAUCAUGAUUCAUGCUCAUAACAUAAUGAACACCGCAUCAAACACUGGGGGAUCAAUACCGAGGCUUAAGGUACAAACAAUCCGUUACUCCCUUCAAAUUUACAGUUUUACGCUACCAAAUGCAUCUUUACUCAGCAGUUUCCUUGAGGUAAGGCGUUGUUAAUUCAAUUUUGUUUUUGUAAAGAAGCGAUCGUGGUUGUGCUCUUAUACUAUCCUCGUACGCUUCUUUUACGCGGCUAUUUCACAAUUUAAUUACUUGCAGUUUAUCUUGGUCAUUGAACGAAUUGUUGUACUGCUGUUUUGCUCCAAGCUAAUCUGUUUGUUCAUUCAAGUAUUGUUUACAUUCUUUAGUUAAUGGUUCUGCUCUAUACUUGGCAUAUGCAUACUCGAAGCGUCUAGCAGUUUAUGGAUUGAAUCGAGCAACUUGUAUGUAUUUUCUUGAGUUAUGUUUUGACCAGCAGAAGGCGUCUAUCGUUUGUAUUUACUUGGUGUUAGGCGCUGUUUUCUUGUUUUUGUUGGUAUCGAGUAGUAGUGUCAAGUUAUUUGUACUAUGUCAUUGUAGUUAUUUUGUUGAAGGGACUGUUGAUUCCUAUGGAGUCUUGCGUGGCUUAUUGUAGUGACCGAAGGACAGUUGGGUGGAUGAAUGGGGAACAGAGACUAGAUUUGUGGUUCGGAGCUUCAUAUGAGCGAUGUUUGUUUAAUCUUUUCUUAGGAGAUGAAGAUGACCUUUUGCGUGGAUACAUUGGUGAAGAUGGAUGCCGUGUUUCGAAGGUUAUGGUGAUGCGUUAGGUCCGUGCAGUGAUCAGUUUCCCAACAUCUGUUAGGUACAUCCUUAUGUAUAAUGGUGCCUUGUUACAUCCUUGUGUAUAAUGGUGCCUUGUUACAUCCUUGUAUAAUGGUGCCUCGUUACAUCCUCGUAGGAGGUUGGUAACUCGUUUGCUGGUUUUAUUUCUGACAAUCGGAUGGACAGCAUUUUUAUGUUUUAGUUUUUGGAAGUCGUAUUUGGAUUGUAUUUUUAUAUAUUGCUAAAUAUACCUCUAUCGAGUGAUUUUCUUGUCA
This is a long non-coding RNA of Cynara cardunculus var. scolymus (artichoke), 1820 nucleotides long. RefSeq lists it as uncharacterized. The transcript has 3 exons. NCBI's taxonomy places the organism in Eukaryota, Viridiplantae, Streptophyta, Magnoliopsida, Asterales, Asteraceae. The record is from RefSeq and is a predicted model, not a curated record.